RNAcentral lists this ribosomal RNA (491 nucleotides) under uncultured bacterium. RNAcentral describes it as "bacterial SSU rRNA". It matches the Rfam family "Bacterial small subunit ribosomal RNA", at positions 903 to 1397 of the family's 1533-position model. The record is from RNAcentral.
AAAGGAAUAGACGGGGGCCCGCACAAGCAGCGGAGCAUGUGGUUUAAUUCGAAGCAACGCGAAGAACCUUACCUAGACUUGACAUCUCCUGAAUAGCGUAGAGAUACGUGAAGCCCUUCGGGGCAGGAAGACAGGUGGUGCAUGGUUGUCGUCAGCUCGUGUCGUGAGAUGUUGGGUUAAGUCCCGCAACGAGCGCAACCCUUAUCAUUAGUUGCUACCAUUAAGUUGAGCACUCUAGUGAGACUGCCCGGGUUAACCGGGAGGAAGGCGGGGAUGACGUCAAAUCAUCAUGCCCCUUAUGUCUAGGGCUACACACGUGCUACAAUGGUGAGAACAACGAGAUGCAAUACCGCGAGGUGGAGCCAAACUUGAAAACUCAUCCCAGUUCGGAUUGUAGGCUGAAAUUCGCCUACAUGAAGUUGGAGUUGCUAGUAAUCGCGAAUCAGAAUGUCGCGGUGAAUACGUUCCCGGGCCUUGUACACACCGCCCGU